CUUCAGCUAAAAAGUUGAAUUAUUGGGACAUGCAUUAGGGAUAUCUGAACAGGCCUGCAAAAAUCUGGACGGCCAUCCGAUGGAAUUAAAAGACUCUCUUCACAAAGACUGUUUAUCCCUAAACAUGCCAGAAUGCAUAAACCUUUCCCAUCGGGCAACCUGCAAGUCUCUUGAAACUGCGGGAAAGUUUGGUGGAAAUAAUAGGAGCUGCAGUUUCAUCUGAAGGAUGCCUGGAAGACUGAUAUUGUAACUGUAUGUGGAAAUGACUUUGGAAGACAGAGAUUCUGCCUGAGAACCGUCAGACACACUACCGGAAUGUGAUGGGCUACCAUUAAUCCUGUGUCUAGUCUUCAGUAGACUUGCUACAAGGCUAGCUAUAUUGAGUAUUUUUUCCUAAAACUGAGAAACUACUUUGUUGAACAAGAUUUCAAAGGGAUCAUCCUCAAGACUCAUUACGGUACACAGGAGAUGCAGACCAAAUGAUCCAUCUCAAAAAAACAUUCAUCACCAUCAUCAUGGCAAAUUAAAGUUAGAAUCCUUGGUAGUCUCAUUGUCCUUAAGUCUUAUUGAAAUCAAUGUCAAAUGUUCUUCAUUUCAUGGACCCUAACUGCAAAUUUGCUCAGAAACUGGCUUAUUGUCAAAAUACACUCUAAGAUUCUUUUGUA
Molecule: long non-coding RNA, 665 nt
Organism: Thamnophis elegans (Western terrestrial garter snake)
Lineage: Eukaryota; Metazoa; Chordata; Lepidosauria; Squamata; Natricidae
Exons: 3
Source: RefSeq, a predicted model, not a curated record